Molecule: ribosomal RNA, 482 nt
Filed under: uncultured bacterium
Lineage: Bacteria
Description: partial 16S ribosomal RNA
Rfam family: Bacterial small subunit ribosomal RNA
Source: RNAcentral
AUUGAACGCUGGCGGCAUGCCUUACACAUGCAAGUCGAACGGUAACAGGUCUUCGGAUGCUGACGAGUGGCGAACGGGUGAGUAAUACAUCGGAACGUGCCCGAUCGUGGGGGAUAACGGAGCGAAAGCUUUGCUAAUACCGCAUACGAUCUACGGAUGAAGGCAGGGGACCGCAAGGCCUUGCGCGGACGGAGCGGCCGGUGGCAGAUUAGGGAGUUGGUGGGAUAAAAGCUUACCAAGCCGACGAUCUGUAGCUGGUCUGAGAGGACGACCAGCCACACUGGGACUGAGACACGGCCCAGACUCCUACGGGAGGCAGCAGUGGGGAGUUUUGGACAAUGGGCGAAAGCCUGAUCCAGCCAUGCCGCGUGCAGGAUGAAGGCCUUCGGGUUGUAAACUGCUUUUGUACGGAACGAAAAGACUCUUUCUAAUAAAGAGGGUCCAUGACGGUACCGUAAGAAUAAGCACCGGCUAACUACGUG